GAUGAACGCUGGCGGCGUGCUUAACACAUGCAAGUCGAACGGGAAAUACUUCAUUGAGACUUCGGUGGAUUUGAUCUAUUUCUAGUGGCGGACGGGUGAGUAACGCGUGGGUAACCUGCCUUAUACAGGGGGAUAACAGUCAGAAAUGGCUGCUAAUACCGCAUAAGCGCACAGAGCUGCAUGGCUCAGUGUGAAAAACUCCGGUGGUAUAAGAUGGACCCGCGUUGGAUUAGCUGGUUGGUGGGGUAACGGCCCACCAAGGCGACGAUCCAUAGCCGGCCUGAGAGGGUGAACGGCCACAUUGGGACUGAGACACGGCCCAGACUCCUACGGGAGGCAGCAGUGGGGAAUAUUGCACAAUGGGGGAAACCCUGAUGCAGCGACGCCGCGUGAAGGAAGAAGUAUCUCGGUAUGUAAACUUCUAUCAGCAGGGAAGACAGUGACGGUACCUGACUAAGAAGCC
Molecule: ribosomal RNA, 463 nt
Filed under: uncultured bacterium
Lineage: Bacteria
Description: bacterial SSU rRNA
Rfam family: Bacterial small subunit ribosomal RNA
Source: RNAcentral